RNAcentral lists this ribosomal RNA (433 nucleotides) under uncultured bacterium. RNAcentral describes it as "partial 16S ribosomal RNA". It matches the Rfam family "Bacterial small subunit ribosomal RNA", at positions 29 to 507 of the family's 1533-position model. The record is from RNAcentral.
AACGAACGCUGGCGGCAUGCCUAACACAUGCAAGUCGAACGAGACCUUCGGGUCUGGUGGCCCACGGGUGCGUAACGCGGGGGAACCUGCCCUUAGGCUGGGAAUAACUCCCCGAAAGGGCUGCUAAUACCGGAUAAUGUCUUCGGACCAAAGAGUUAUCGCCUUUGGAUGGGGCCGAGUUGGGUUGGCUGGGUGUUAGGGUAAAGGCCUACCAAGGCGAGGAGCCGUAGCUGGUUUGAGAGGAGGAACAGCCACACUGGGACUGAGACACGGCCCCGACUCGUACGAGAGGCAGCAGUUGUGGCUAUUGGACCAUGGGCGAGAGGCUGAUCCACCGAUGGCGCGUGAGUGAUGAAGGCGUUAGGGUUGGAAAGCUCUUUUGACCGGGAUGAUAAUGACGGUACCUGGAGAAUAAGCGCCGGCUAACUCCGUG